Molecule: microRNA precursor, 56 nt
Filed under: Euprymna scolopes
Lineage: Eukaryota; Metazoa; Mollusca; Cephalopoda; Sepiida; Sepiolidae
Description: Esc-Mir-12510_pre stem-loop
Source: RNAcentral
ACGGUGAUGAGAUCAGUUUGUCUUAUAAAAUUCGAUUAGCUGUCUCAUGAUCUUCA